CACAUAUUUACAAAUGGAAGCCAAUGCCAUUUGUUUCUCUGGGAACGGCUUCAAUUUAUUCAUUCUUUUUCUCUCUUUGUCCCCGCAGGUGAGCUACGCCAUGCCCAUGCCCACUCCCGGGCUACAAAAGGAAUUCACUGCGAGUGCCCCUCAUUCACUCGACAUUCACUGACAAGAUGGACUAACAGUACCAUUUACAGAAGGACAAAAACAGCGGUAAACUUCGCCAAGUCCAUCCUGAGAUGCAGACUACAGCAGGAAUUCACGACGCCAAGUUGUGGAAGGAUCGGGGUGUGCAUGCGAGUUUUUCACGCAAGAAAAAUAAGCAUUGAAUGCAGCAGCAUCGUAGCCUGGGUGCCAUCCGAAUUUGUAACGGCUACGGGCAAAUUCGGAU
Molecule: long non-coding RNA, 394 nt
Organism: Branchiostoma belcheri (Belcher's lancelet)
Lineage: Eukaryota; Metazoa; Chordata; Leptocardii; Amphioxiformes; Branchiostomatidae
Exons: 3
Source: RefSeq, a predicted model, not a curated record